Molecule: ribosomal RNA, 305 nt
Filed under: uncultured bacterium
Lineage: Bacteria
Description: partial 16S ribosomal RNA
Rfam family: Bacterial small subunit ribosomal RNA
Source: RNAcentral
ACAGCAGCCGCCACGGUAAUACGGAGGGUGCAAGCGUUAUCCGGAUUUAUUGGGUUUAAAGGGUCCGUAGGCGGAUCUGUAAGUCAGUGGUGAAAUCUCACAGCUUAACUGUGAAACUGCCAUUGAUACUGCAGGUCUUGAGUAAAUUUGAAGUGGCUGGAAUAAGUAGUGUAGCGGUGAAAUGCAUAGAUAUUACUUAGAACACCAAUUGCGAAGGCAGGUCACUAAGAUUUAACUGACGCUGAUGGACGAAAGCGUGGGGAGCGAACAGGAUUAGAUACCCGCGUAGUCCCUGUCUCUUAUAA